This 27-nucleotide transfer RNA is filed under the name Kinixys natalensis (Natal hingeback tortoise). RNAcentral describes it as "partial transfer RNA-Leu". Lineage: Eukaryota; Metazoa; Chordata; Testudines; Testudinidae. The record is from RNAcentral.
CUUUUAAAGGAUAGAAGUAAUCCAUUG